CAGUGUUGUCAAUAGAGCACUGUGCUGCAAGACAGGAGUCCUGAGACCCCUUCCCUGCCUGGGUGUUAAGGAACUCUUCACCUUGGACAAAUCACUUCAAUUUUCUAGGUCAGGAAGAGACUUACAAACUGAAAUACGUUAAUUGUUAUUGUCAUCUGACUUCGAGGUUGAGGAAUCUGAGCACAGAGUUUUGCCAGGACUUCAGGAACCCUGAGGAUGCUCUUCGACUUGAGUCUGGAAUCACUGAUCCAUGAGUUCUGUUCCUUCCUAAGUCUCAGCAGCAGUCAGUUUGGAUCAUCCGUGGGCUUGCUGUGAAGCAGUGGGAUCUUGGUGGGAAGCCUUCCGUGGCACUGAAUCUUUGCUGUUAAUCUGCAUAUAUGGUGCCACGUACUCCUGCUAUGAUGUACCAUCAGAGACCCAAAGCAAUGGAUCCAAUCAAUCAUGGACUGAAACCUCUAAGGCUGAGAA
This 468-nucleotide long non-coding RNA is filed under the name Ictidomys tridecemlineatus (thirteen-lined ground squirrel). RNAcentral's name for it is "lncRNA (ENSSTOG00000031319.1)". The record is from RNAcentral. Lineage: Eukaryota; Metazoa; Chordata; Mammalia; Rodentia; Sciuridae.